GUGCCAGCAGCCGCGGUAAUACGGAGGUGGCAAGCGUUACUCGGAUUGAUUGGGUGUAAAGGGCGUGUAGGUGGCAUUACAAGUCGAGCGUGAAAUCCCUUGGCUUAACCAAGGAACUGCGUUCGAAACUGUUUUGCUUGAGCGAUGGAGAGGAAAGUGGAAUUCCCGGUGUAACAGUGAAAUGUGUAGAUAUCGGGAGGAACACCAGUGGCGAAGGCGACUUUCUGGACAUUUGCUGACACUGAAACGCGAGAGCAUGGGGAGCAAACAGGAUUAGAAACCCUUGUAGUCC
RNAcentral lists this ribosomal RNA (292 nucleotides) under uncultured bacterium. Its description in RNAcentral is "partial 16S ribosomal RNA". It matches the Rfam family "Bacterial small subunit ribosomal RNA", at positions 505 to 796 of the family's 1533-position model. The record is from RNAcentral.